Molecule: ribosomal RNA, 651 nt
Filed under: uncultured bacterium
Lineage: Bacteria
Description: bacterial SSU rRNA
Rfam family: Bacterial small subunit ribosomal RNA
Source: RNAcentral
GGGGAUAACAGUUAGAAAUGACUGCUAAUACCGCAUAAGCGCACAGGACCGCAUGGUCCGGUGUGAAAAACUCCGGUGGUAUGAGAUGGACCCGCGUCUGAUUAGUUAGUUGGCGGGGUAGCGGCCCACCAAGACGACGAUCAGUAGCCGACCUGAGAGGGUGACCGGCCACAUUGGGACUGAGACACGGCCCAAACUCCUACGGGAGGCAGCAGUGGGGAAUAUUGCACAAUGGGGGAAACCCUGAUGCAGCGAUGCCGCGUGAGUGAAGAAGUAUUUCGGUAUGUAAAGCUCUAUCAGCAGGGAAGAAGUUGACGGUACCUGAGUAAGAAGCCCCGGCUAACUACGUGCCAGCAGCCGCGGUAAUACGUAGGGGGCAAGCGUUAUCCGGAUUUACUGGGUGUAAAGGGAGCGUAGACGGCAGUGCAAGUCUGAAGUGAAAGCCCCGGGCUUAACCCGGGAACUGCUUUGGAAACUGUACGGCUGGAGUGCUGGAGAGGUAAGCGGAAUUCCUAGUGUAGCGGUGAAAUGCGUAGAUAUUAGGAGGAACACCAGUGGCGAAGGCGGCUUACUGGACAGUAACUGACGUUGAGGCUCGAAAGCGUGGGGAGCAAACAGGAUUAGAUACCCUGGUAGUCCACGCCGUAAACG